Non-coding RNA from Triticum aestivum (bread wheat), 115 nucleotides. NCBI's taxonomy places the organism in Eukaryota, Viridiplantae, Streptophyta, Magnoliopsida, Poales, Poaceae. The record is from Rfam.
AAAGUACUCCCUCUAUCCCAAAUUACUCGUCGCAGAAAUGGAUGUAUCUAGAACUAAAAUACAUCUAGAUACAUACAUAUUUGCGACAAGUAAUUCGGGACAGAGGGAGUAAUUG